Molecule: long non-coding RNA, 247 nt
Filed under: Salvia miltiorrhiza (redroot sage)
Lineage: Eukaryota; Viridiplantae; Streptophyta; Magnoliopsida; Lamiales; Lamiaceae
Description: long non-coding RNA (SMIL_LNC012048)
Source: RNAcentral
UGAAAUAUUCAUCGGUGUUGGGUAUAAUCGCGGCACGUCGUCGUCCACGUACUCGUUAGCACGAAGCCAACGAGCUCUUCAAGCUUUGGAGGGAGAGAGCAGCAGCAACAGCAGGAGCGUGACAGCAGCAGUGACUUCCCUGGGAGCAGCUGUGCGGCGGCGGCGGCGUUCCAGCUCCAGCUGUAGAAGCACGAGCAGCAGGGGGCAAAGCUUCGGCUCAGUCCCGUUCCUUCUCUAAGCGCACAGC